UACGGAGGGGGCUAGCGUUGUUCGGAUUCAUUGGGCGUAAAGGGUGCGUAGGCGGCGAGGUAAGUCGGAUGUGAAAUCCCGGGGCUCAACCCUGGAACUGCAUUCGAUACUGCCUUGCUCGAGGACUCGAGAGGAGAUUGGAAUUCACGGUGUAGCAGUGAAAUGCGUAGAUAUCGUGAGGAAGACCAGUGGCGAAGGCGGAUCUCUGGAGAGUUCCUGACGCUGAGGCACGAAGGCCAGGGGAGCAAACGGG
This 253-nucleotide ribosomal RNA is filed under the name uncultured bacterium. RNAcentral describes it as "partial 16S ribosomal RNA". It matches the Rfam family "Bacterial small subunit ribosomal RNA", at positions 524 to 776 of the family's 1533-position model. The record is from RNAcentral.